AGGACGAACGCUGGCGGCGUGGAUUAGGCAUGCAAGUCGCGCGACGAACCUUCGGGUUACGGAGCGGCGAACGGGUGAGUAACACGUGAACAAUCUGUCCCUACAUUCCGGAUAAUUGGCCGAAAGGCCUUGUAAUACGGGCGAGGAUGGUGGUGAGGCAUCUCACUAUCAGGGAAGGUGCAACGCAAGUUGUGCCGUGCAGGGGAGGGUUCGCGGCCUAUCAGUUAGUUGGUGGGGUAACGGCCUACCAAGACGACGACGGGUAGC
This 267-nucleotide ribosomal RNA is filed under the name uncultured soil bacterium. RNAcentral describes it as "partial 16S ribosomal RNA". It matches the Rfam family "Bacterial small subunit ribosomal RNA", at positions 26 to 287 of the family's 1533-position model. The record is from RNAcentral.